This 983-nucleotide ribosomal RNA is filed under the name uncultured Alteromonas sp. RNAcentral's name for it is "bacterial SSU rRNA". It matches the Rfam family "Bacterial small subunit ribosomal RNA", at positions 68 to 1048 of the family's 1533-position model. The record is from RNAcentral. Lineage: Bacteria; Pseudomonadati; Pseudomonadota; Gammaproteobacteria; Alteromonadales; Alteromonadaceae.
GGUAACAUUUCUAGCUUGCUAGAAGAUGACGAGUGGCGGACGGGUGAGUAAUGCUUGGGAACUUGCCUUUGCGAGGGGGAUAACAGUUGGAAACGACUGCUAAUACCGCAUAAUGUCUUCGGACCAAACGGGGCUUCGGCUCCGGCGCAAAGAGAGGCCCAAGUGAGAUUAGCUAGUUGGUAAGGUAACGGCUUACCAAGGCGACGAUCUCUAGCUGUUCUGAGAGGAAGAUCAGCCACACUGGGACUGAGACACGGCCCAGACUCCUACGGGAGGCAGCAGUGGGGAAUAUUGCACAAUGGGGGAAACCCUGAUGCAGCCAUGCCGCGUGUGUGAAGAAGGCCUUCGGGUUGUAAAGCACUUUCAGUUGUGAGGAAAGGUUAGUAGUUAAUACCUGCUAGCCGUGACGUUAACAACAGAAGAAGCACCGGCUAACUCCGUGCCAGCAGCCGCGGUAAUACGGAGGGUGCGAGCGUUAAUCGGAAUUACUGGGCGUAAAGCGCACGCAGGCGGUUUGUUAAGCUAGAUGUGAAAGCCCCGGGCUCAACCUGGGAUGGUCAUUUAGAACUGGCAGACUAGAGUCUUGGAGAGGGGAGUGGAAUUCCAGGUGUAGCGGUGGAAUGCGUAGAUAUCUGGAGGAACAUCAGUGGCGAAGGCGACUCCCUGGCCAAAGACUGACGCUCAUGUGCGAAAGUGUGGGUAGCGAACAGGAUUAGAUACCCUGGUAGUCCACACCGUAAACGCUGUCUACUAGCUGUGUGUGCCUUUAAGGCGUGCGUAGCGAAGCUAACGCGCUAAGUAGACCGCCUGGGGAGUACGGCCGCAAGGUUAAAACUCAAAUGAAUUGACGGGGGCCCGCACAAGCGGUGGAGCAUGUGGUUUAAUUCGAUGCAACGCGAAGAACCUUACCUACACUUGACAUGCUGAGAAGUUACUAGAGAUAGUUUCGUGCCUUCGGGAACUCAGACACAGGUGCUGCAUGG